GCGCCCAUAGCUCAACCGGAUAGAGCGACAGACUUCGGAUCUGUAGGUUGGGGGUUCAAGUCCCUCUGGGCGCGCCA
This 77-nucleotide transfer RNA is filed under the name Bacillota bacterium. RNAcentral's name for it is "tRNA-Arg". It matches the Rfam family "tRNA". From Rfam's summary of the family: Transfer RNA (tRNA) molecules are approximately 80 nucleotides in length. Their secondary structure includes four short double-helical elements and three loops (D, anti-codon, and T loops). Further hydrogen bonds mediate the characteristic L-shaped molecular structure. tRNAs have two regions of fundamental functional importance: the anti-codon, which is responsible for specific mRNA codon recognition, and the 3' end, to which the tRNAs corresponding amino acid is attached (by aminoacyl-tRNA synthetases). tRNAs cope with the degeneracy of the genetic code in two manners: having more than one tRNA (with a specific anti-codon) for a particular amino acid; and 'wobble' base-pairing, i.e. permitting non-standard base-pairing at the 3rd anti-codon position. The record is from RNAcentral. Lineage: Bacteria; Bacillati; Bacillota.